RNAcentral lists this non-coding RNA (29 nucleotides) under Rattus norvegicus (Norway rat). Lineage: Eukaryota; Metazoa; Chordata; Mammalia; Rodentia; Muridae. The record is from RNAcentral.
UCCAUCCUUAAGACUUGGCUUCUCCGUGC